RNAcentral lists this ribosomal RNA (301 nucleotides) under uncultured bacterium. Its description in RNAcentral is "partial 16S ribosomal RNA". It matches the Rfam family "Bacterial small subunit ribosomal RNA", at positions 509 to 807 of the family's 1533-position model. The record is from RNAcentral.
CAGUAGCCGCGGGAAUACGAAGGGGGCUAGCGUUGCUCGGAAUCACUGGGCGUAAAGGGUGCGUAGGCGGGUCUUUAAGUCAGGGGUGAAAUCCUGGAGCUCAACUCCAGAACUGCCUUUGAUACUGAAGAUCUUGAGUUCGGGAGAGGUGAGUGGAACUGCGAGUGUAGAGGUGAAAUUCGUAGAUAUUCGCAAGAACACCAGUGGCGAAGGCGGCUCACUGGCCCGAUACUGACGCUGAGGCACGAAAGCGUGGGGAGCAAACAGGAUUAGAUACCCGGGUAGUCCCUGUCUCUUAUAC